Molecule: long non-coding RNA, 557 nt
Filed under: Phoenix dactylifera (date palm)
Lineage: Eukaryota; Viridiplantae; Streptophyta; Magnoliopsida; Arecales; Arecaceae
Description: long non-coding RNA (PDAC_LNC019441)
Source: RNAcentral
UUCCCAACAUCUUCAAGUGUCCCUGUGCCGUUUCGAAAGUCCCAAAACAAUUCAAUCCGUUCGAGCACGCGAGGAGUUUCCCAGUUUUCCCAACCGAUCAUGGCAUCUCCUCAGAGUCCUUCCAUCUUCCCUGUUUCUUCCCAGCUCAUCCACAAAUCCAGCGGCUGUGAGGAGUCUUCUCAACACCCCAACGGUCAUCUUCUUCCACACUUCCCAGCCGCAUCCCAACCGAUCAUGGCAUCUCAAGCGUUGUGGCAUCAACCGGCCACAUGGCUUCUUGUCUUCCAACGGAUCAUUCCAAGCAACAGUGGAAGCAUCCCAGCAGCCGAAGAUCCCAGGCGAUUCAACUUCAUCUACCCCAUGUUUCAUCCAUUCCCAAAUUUCUACAACGUUUCCAGUUGAAGAAUCCCAAGCGAUUCAACUUCAUCCCGCAUCUCAAGCAACCGGAUCAUCCCCAAACCUCCACGCGUCUCACCAGCCGCGCCUUCAACAUGCUAUAAAAAGGGGAGCCAUCCGGUGAAGAAGGAGGGGACGGGAGGGAGAAAGCAGCCGGGAGA